UUACUCAUUUCUUCCGUUUAUUUGCCUAGUCCUCAAGAAAUAUUUGCUUGAUGUGACUUCUUGGAACCAAAUGUUGGUGCCCAACUGAAAGGGAUGGAGCCCUCCGGACUGGGAAGUUCCGCUGAGGAUGAGGGCGGCCGCCAUUUUGAAACGAACAGACUCCAAAAGCACGCUCCACGGGGCCUGCCCCUGAGAUCUUAAAACGGAUGUCCGUGAAAUGUGACCCAUGAAUAGCAGUUAUCUGGAGAGAGAGCUCUGAAGCCGAUGAAACCAUUAGAGCCACUGAAGGCAGCUGGUAAAUGCGAUGCGGGGAGUACAGAAGAGAGAAUCAGAAACACACCGGCACUCUCAUUCCCAUGAGGCCACUUACAGUGGGUAAAACGUCGCUUGAGAAGAGCGGCAGCUCCAGCCUGAAUGAGAAGCACGUCCUCCUGGGAGUUACAUCAGCAGCCUGGCCUUCCAUCUUCCUCCUCUAAAGAAACGUCCCUGCCACCCUGAGCAUCAAGCCCUCGCGUUCCUAAAGGCCGAGGCGCUUCUUCUCAUUUACUUCCCUUGAGGAAGAAAGACCAGCCCAUCCACCCUCAUUUCCCACCGAAGGGCACCGCAAAUAAAGUUUGCCCACGCAACCAGGCCACCACCAUUAAUUUCUCUCUGCCCUGCUCUUACAUUCUCCUCAAGGUUUUCAAUCCCUUAGAGAGGCUCCCUUCCCUCUUUUCUUUCCUUCCUCCAGCCCCCCUUUUCACCUCCCUCCACCAUUGUUUGAGGUUAAGAAGCAUGCUACGGUGUUCUAUAAAUUACUUGCCAAGAGUAGACGACAAAAGCAAAAUAUAAUUCAGAUUAAAGUCAUCCUCCCGCUGAAAUGAUAGUUUCUUAAAUAAAUGGCGAUGCUGCCUAUCAAUCUUGCAGGCAACUGGUCCUCUCAUAUUCAUCUUUCUAGGGGUGAUUUAGGAUCCACCUGGGUCCUCCGAGAAGAUUCUCCCAUCAUUUCCUUCCCAUCUCUCUGGAUCUUGCUGCUGGGCUUGGCGCAGUUGACAAAUUCUCCAAGUAAUCCCUCAAAAGAUUGGAGAAAUGCUCCGAACGCUCCAUUAAAUUUAUUUUCCAUGCUUUAAGAGACCCAAAACUAUGUCCAAUAAAUAAGUGUUCCCUGUGA
Long non-coding RNA from Gorilla gorilla gorilla (western lowland gorilla), 1150 nucleotides. RefSeq lists it as uncharacterized. Lineage: Eukaryota; Metazoa; Chordata; Mammalia; Primates; Hominidae. The transcript has 2 exons. The record is from RefSeq and is a predicted model, not a curated record.